GUUUUCUGUGGCUCAGUUGAAGGAGCAUUGCGCUAAUAACACAAAGGUUGUGGGUUCAAAUCCAAAUGAAAGCA
Non-coding RNA from Danionella cerebrum, 74 nucleotides. The record is from the annotation of a GenBank genome assembly. Lineage: Eukaryota; Metazoa; Chordata; Actinopteri; Cypriniformes; Danionidae.